RNAcentral lists this long non-coding RNA (359 nucleotides) under Ananas comosus (pineapple). RNAcentral describes it as "long non-coding RNA (ACOM_LNC031294)". The record is from RNAcentral. Lineage: Eukaryota; Viridiplantae; Streptophyta; Magnoliopsida; Poales; Bromeliaceae.
UUUAAUAAUAGAAAAUUUAAGAGGCAUCAAUAAUAUAAUAGCGUAAGGAUAAAACAGAUAUUUUAUAAGGAAUGAUUUUAUACGUCUCUCUAUAAAAAUAUCGAAUAGCAGAUAUAUCCCAACAAAGUUUAAGUUUUUAGAUUUAUCCCUCAAAAAGUCCUAACGGUUUCAAAUAUACUCUUACUAUUAGUGUCCGUUAGAAAAAUAUAGUUAACCAUAAAUAAAGUGCUUAACAUUGGUUAGUGAGUGUGGUAAAUUGACAUUUUUAUCCUCUGAUAUUAUACCUUAGUCUCUCAAUUAAAAUCCUAUUUCUAUCAAAACCCUAACAAUAGAAACUUUUUGUGACAUCCCACUUUUGA